Molecule: ribosomal RNA, 406 nt
Filed under: uncultured bacterium
Lineage: Bacteria
Description: partial 16S ribosomal RNA
Rfam family: Bacterial small subunit ribosomal RNA
Source: RNAcentral
AUUGAACGCUGGCGGCAGGCUUAACACAUGCAAGUCGAGCGAGCGGCGGACGGGUGAGUCAUGUCUGGGCAACUGCCUGAUGGAGGGGAAUAACUACUGGAAACGGUAGCUAAUACCGCAUACCAUCCGAUGUCCCCAGAUGGGAUUAGCUAGUAGGUGGGGUAAUGGCUAUCCUAGCCGACCAUCCCUAAAUGGUCGUAGAGGAUGACCAGCGACACUGGAACUGAGACACGGUCCAGAGUCCUACGAGAGGCAGCAGGGGGGAAUAUGUCACAAGGGGCGCAAGCCGGAUGCAGCCAUGCCGCGUGUGGGAAGAAGGCCUUCGGGUUGUAAAGCACUUUCAGCGAGGAGGCGUUACUCGCAGAAGAAGCACCGGCUAACUCCGUGCCAGCGGCCGCGGUAAUAC